RNAcentral lists this ribosomal RNA (497 nucleotides) under uncultured bacterium. RNAcentral describes it as "partial 16S ribosomal RNA". It matches the Rfam family "Bacterial small subunit ribosomal RNA", at positions 28 to 507 of the family's 1533-position model. The record is from RNAcentral.
GAUGAACGCUGGCGGCGUGCCUAAUACAUGCAAGUCGAGCGAACAGACGAGGAGCUUGCUCCUCUGACGUUAGCGGCGGACGGGUGAGUAACACGUGGAUAACCUACCUAUAAGACUGGGAUAACUUCGGGAAACCGGAGCUAAUACCGGAUAAUAUAUUGAACCGCAUGGUUCAAUAGUGAAAGACGGUUUUGCUGUCACUUAUAGAUGGAUCCGCGCCGCAUUAGCUAGUUGGUAAGGUAACGGCUUACCAAGGCAACGAUGCGUAGCCGACCUGAGAGGGUGAUCGGCCACACUGGAACUGAGACACGGUCCAGACUCCUACGGGAGGCAGCAGUAGGGAAUCUUCCGCAAAGGGCGAAAGCCUGACGGUGCAACGCCGCGUGAGUGAUGAAGGUCUUCGGAUCGUAAAACUCUGUUAUUAGGGAAGAACAAAUGUGUAAGUAACUAUGCACGUCUUGACGGUACCUAAUCAGAAAGCCACGGCUAACUACGUG